Microcebus murinus (gray mouse lemur) is the source of this 1650-nucleotide long non-coding RNA. RefSeq lists it as uncharacterized. The record is from RefSeq and is a predicted model, not a curated record. Lineage: Eukaryota; Metazoa; Chordata; Mammalia; Primates; Cheirogaleidae.
GUCUCUGGGGUCUCUUCAUCUUAAGCCUUGGCCAUCGAAUGUCGCUGUGCGCUGGUGCGGCGUGCGCCGGGACCUGCUCCCAGCUGGUGUGCUCUGAGCACUUCCUUGCUAAGCACGCGCCACACAGCUUGUGUCUGCUUUCUCAUUUAACCUUCAAACAAUCCCACAAUACAGGUACUGCUAUUAGCCCAUUUUUCAGAGGGGGAAACUGAGGCUAAGAGAGGUCAAGUACCUUGCCUAAAGUCACACAGCUAGUUAAAGUCACACAGCUGGAACUCACAGUAGGUCUGUGUCCAGAACUAGAAUGUUCUACUUCCUCCUAGGACUGCAAGACCCAAGAGUAAGCAUUGGUUCUGAGCACGGAGAGCCGACAGGGCUGGCCCCGGCCCUCUGUGUGCCUUCACCAGGGUGACAUGUCUACACACCGGCAGGGACCUUUGCCGGUGGCCUUGUCUGUGUCCACAGCCCGCCUUCAGGGUGCCCACGACCCACCCCACAAGGCCGUGUACAAGAUGAUGUGGGUGUGUGUGGUGUGUGGGUUUUUUAUUUUUUUCUGAAGUGACUGCAUCACUUCUUAGAGAGCUGAUAACAAUGUGGCAUUGUGACAUAGGGUUACAUCAACUGACAGCAUUGUGUGCCCUCCUCACGGCCACUGGGCCCCUUUUGUUAAACCUUUAGGACACGGAUCCUGGGUCCACUGGCGGCACCGUGAGGAGAGUGGGCCACGAGGGCAGCAGCCCGGCUCUCACAGGGCAGACGGCCUGGCUGCCUCAUUCCUUCUGGCAUGCCACCAAAACUCUGGCCCUUGUCUGAGUGGAGACAUUGUGCACCACUGGUGAAGAGGCUCCUUGUGUUGGCGCGAUAGGGGUGCUCCCCCAGGAGAGAAGAAAUAGAGACAGGAAAGGGAUUGAUUGCUUAAAACCAAAAGAGAGACAACUUCUUAUGGAGGAGCCAGACAUCAACUGCUGGACCCCAAACUUGGUUCUGCACUCGCCGAUGUGUGGCCUUGAACACGUGACUUAACUGUGUGAGCCUCAGUUUCCUCACCUGCAGUGCAUAGGGAGUAGCUCGCUCGCGGGGCUGCCGUGAGGAUGGAAGGAGUCACUCUACGGGAUGGCUCGCGGGGCACGCUAGCAUCACUCUUACAAACCAGAGCCACCGCGGUGAUGCACGAGCUGUGACAACUCUCCCUGGGAGCCCAGCAGGGGGACAGGUAACUGCAUCACUCCCGUCUGCCACAUCCCUGUGCUUGGGGUUGCACCCAUGUUCACAGCCACGAUCAACAAUACUAAUAAGUGGCUUCCACACCUUAAUUAGGGGAUGUUUCUCAGCCAUCUUUUGUGUUUUAUCAUCUUCUUCUACUUGUCACUCUCCAUUUCUGGAUGCUAUUUUUUUUAGUCUGUCCAAGGUGCUAGGACCACAUCAAAAUGUGGACUCAUCUUAAAAUCUAAUCUAAUGGGCACCUGACUCUAUACCCCAUGGUGACAGGCUCAGAGCAGAUCUGGUGAAGGAUACACCGUUAGGCAAAUUUCCAAAGUCACCCCUAAUAUUGGAUAUCAGGGAUUCAGGACCAGGGUAGGGUCCAUGGUAGCAACCUUUGAUGGGCGUCCUCUCUGCUGUGCUCCCAGAUGGCCUCGGCCGUGGAGGGUG